UCCUGCAUGGACCGCAUGAUGUUCUCCAUGGUGGGAUAUCGCCGCUCCGAGUUGUUCGACUCUUAUCUGCAAAUGUUCCACAAGAUUGUUACAGAUUAUUACAACUGUGCUGGGCAUCGACCAUUGGAAGAUCCGGCUUUUAAACAGUGCAGUAAACAAUUCAGCAUGCAGAAAACGUGUUUUUAAUUAAAACAUAAAUAAUGAUUCAA
This is a long non-coding RNA of Vollenhovia emeryi, 209 nucleotides long. RefSeq lists it as uncharacterized. The transcript has 2 exons. Lineage: Eukaryota; Metazoa; Arthropoda; Insecta; Hymenoptera; Formicidae. The record is from RefSeq and is a predicted model, not a curated record.